Molecule: ribosomal RNA, 614 nt
Filed under: Glutinoglossum circinatum
Lineage: Eukaryota; Fungi; Ascomycota; Geoglossomycetes; Geoglossales; Geoglossaceae
Description: partial 18S ribosomal RNA
Rfam family: Group I catalytic intron (bases 42-382)
About the family: Group I catalytic introns are large self-splicing ribozymes. They catalyse their own excision from mRNA, tRNA and rRNA precursors in a wide range of organisms. The core secondary structure consists of 9 paired regions (P1-P9).
Source: RNAcentral
UUCGUAGGACAGUCCUUCUGCUGGUAACACUUGCCGAAGCCUUAGCAGCCUGAAAGGGUGCCCCUCGACGACUCGAAAUAAAAUUAGAGGGUCUCAAAUGCUAGUCCACUGUAUAUAGGGUGGGCAACACUGUCAAAUUGCGGGGAACCCCUAAAGACCUUGACACCAAGCGUCUGCUGGAAACAGCGGCGUGGCCGAGCUAAUAGCCCUGGGUAUGGUAAUAGUUCAAGGUAUGAGCCCGAGUGAUCGGGUGAAAUGGGCGAUCUGCAGCCAAGUCCUAAGGUCUCUGUAGGCUACGGAUGCUGUUCACAGGCCAAAUGGCAGUGGGUGGGAGUAUCAUCUCCUGCUUAAGAUAUGGUCGGUCCCCUUGCGAGAGCUUGGGGGUAAGUUUACCGGAUAAAUAAUGAGCAAUUUUACCAGGUGUUCUAUAAGUCCGAGAAGCCCAAGGAAAUGUCCGUCGAAAACCUCUCUCCACCCCCUGGUCUGGAGUUUUGGGAGAGGGGGGCAUGAAAUGGACUUUAUCGAUUUGCGACGAAUAUCUGCGCUUGCUUGUUUUGUGGUUCUCAGAAAUUCUGAGUACUUUUUACGUUCCGUAGGUGAACCUGCGGAAGGAU